AGCAACAAAUGCCCUGCUUCCAGGAAAAGCCUCUAAGCAUCAGGUAACAUCAAAUCGUACCCCAAACCGACACAGGUGGUCAGGUAGAGAAUACCAAGGCGCUUGAGAGAACUCGGGUGAAGGAACUAGGCAAAAUGGUGCCGUAACUUCGGGAGAAGGCACGCUGACACGUAGGUGAAGUGAUUUACUCAUGGAGCUGAAGUCAGUCGAAGAUACCAGCUGGCUGCAACUGUUUAUUAAAAACACAGCACUGUGCAAACACGAAAGUGGACGUAUACGGUGUGACGCCUGCCCGGUGCCGGAAGGUUAAUUGAUGGGGUCAGCGCAAGCGAAGCUCCUGAUCGAAGCCCCGGUAAACGGCGGCCGUAACUAUAACGGUCCUAAGGUAGCGAAAUUCCUUGUCGGGUAAGUUCCGACCUGCACGAAUGGCGUAAUGAUGGCCAGGCUGUCUCCACCCGAGACUCAGUGAAAUUGAACUCGCUGUGAAGAUGCAGUGUACCCGCGGCAAGACGGAAAGACCCCGUGAACCUUUACUAUAGCUUGACACUGAACAUUGAGCCUUGAUGUGUAGGAUAGGUGGGAGGCUUUGAAGUGUGGACGCCAGUCUGCAUGGAGCCGACCUUGAAAUACCACCCUUUAAUGUUUGAUGUUCUAACGUGGACCCGUAAUCCGGGUUGCGGACAGUGUCUGGUGGGUAGUUUGACUGGGGCGGUCUCCUCCUAAAGAGUAACGGAGGAGCACGAAGGUUGGCUAAUCCUGGUCGGACAUCAGGAGGUUAGUGCAAUGGCAUAAGCCAGCUUGACUGCGAGCGUGACGGCGCGAGCAGGUGCGAAAGCAGGUCAUAGUGAUCCGGUGGUUCUGAAUGGAAGGGCCAUCGCUCAACGGAUAAAAGGUACUCCGGGGAUAACAGGCUGAUACCGCCCAAGAGUUCAUAUCGACGGCGGUGUUUGGCACCUCGAUGUCGGCUCAUCACAUCCUGGGGCUGAAGUAGGUCCCAAGGGUAUGGCUGUUCGCCAUUUAAAGUGGUACGCGAGCUGGGUUUAGAACGUCGUGAGACAGUUCGGUCCCUAUCUGCCGUGGGCGCUGGAGAACUGAGGGGGGCUGCUCCUAGUACGAGAGGACCGGAGUGGACGCAUCACUGGUGUUCGGGUUGUCAUGCCAAUGGCACUGCCCGGUAGCUAAAUGCGGAAGAGAUAAGUGCUGAAAGCAUCUAAGCACGAAACUUGCCCCGAGAUGAGUUCUCCCUGAGACUUAGAGUCUCCUGAAGGAACGUUGAAGACGACGACGUUGAUAGGCCGGGUGUGUAAGCGCAGCGAUGCGUUGAGCUAACCGGUACUAAUGAACCGUGAGG
This 1351-nucleotide ribosomal RNA is filed under the name Salmonella enterica. Its description in RNAcentral is "partial 23S ribosomal RNA". It matches the Rfam family "Bacterial large subunit ribosomal RNA", at positions 1589 to 2916 of the family's 2925-position model. RNAcentral also lists the same sequence under 3 other names. Lineage: Bacteria; Pseudomonadati; Pseudomonadota; Gammaproteobacteria; Enterobacterales; Enterobacteriaceae. The record is from RNAcentral.